GACGAACCGUGCGAACGUUGUUCGGAAUCACUGGGCUUAAAGGGCGCGUAGGCGGGCUUCCAGGCCCGCGGUGAAAUCCCCCGGCUCAACCGGGGAAGUGCCGCGGGGACCGGGAGUCUGGAGUGAGAUAGGGGCGUGCGGAACUGUGGGUGGAGCGGUGAAAUGCGUUGAUAUCCACAGGAACUCCGGUGGCGAAGGCGGCACGCUGGAUCUCUACUGACGCUGAGGCGCGAAAGCCAGGGGAGCGAACGGGAUUAGAAACCCCCGUAGUCC
RNAcentral lists this ribosomal RNA (273 nucleotides) under uncultured bacterium. RNAcentral describes it as "partial 16S ribosomal RNA". It matches the Rfam family "Bacterial small subunit ribosomal RNA", at positions 524 to 796 of the family's 1533-position model. The record is from RNAcentral.